This 479-nucleotide ribosomal RNA is filed under the name uncultured bacterium. RNAcentral's name for it is "partial 16S ribosomal RNA". It matches the Rfam family "Bacterial small subunit ribosomal RNA", at positions 30 to 523 of the family's 1533-position model. The record is from RNAcentral.
AUUGAACGCUGGCGGCGUGCUUAACACAUGCAAGUCGAACGGUAACAGGCCUAGCUUGCUAGGUGCUGACGAGUGGCGGACGGGUGAGAAACGCGUAAGAAUCUGCCCUAUAGCGGGGGACAACCUUGGGAAACUAAGGCUAAUACCGCAUAAGCCCGAGAGGGGAAAGGCUUCGGCCACUAUAGGAUGAGCUAGCGUCAGAUUAGCUAGUUGGUGGGGUAAAGGCCUACCAAGGCGAAGAUCUGUAGCUGUUCUGAGAGGAAGAUCAGCCACACUGGGACUGAGACACGGCCCAGACUCCUACGGGAGGCAGCAGUGGGGAAUAUUGGACAAUGGGCGAAAGCCUGAUCCAGCAAUGCCGCGUGUGUGAAGAAGGCCUUCGGGUUGUAAAGCACUUUAGUGGGGGAAGAAAGCACGCAAGUGUUUGACGGUACCCCAAGAAUAAGCAACGGCUAACUCUGUGCCAGCAGCCGCGGUAA